AACCUCCUCUGUUAUUGAUAAUGGUGAGAGGUUAGCAUGUCUUGGGGGUAUGAUAUUACUUGCUAACCUCCCCUGUUAUUGGUAAUGGUGAGAGGUUAGCAUGUCUUGGGGGUAUGAUAUUACAUGCUAACCUCCUCUGUUAUUGGUAAUGGUGAGAGGUUAGCAUGUCUUGGGGGUAUGAUAUUACAUGCUAACCUCCCUGGUAGGCCCUAAUGAGAGGUUAGCAUGUCUUGGGGGUAUGAUAUUACAUGCUAACCUCCCUGGUAGGCCCUAAUGAGAGGUUAGCAUGUCUUGGGGGUAUGAUACUACAAGCUAACUUCCUCUGUUAUUGGUAAUGGUGAGAGGUUAGCAUGUCUUGGGGGUAUGAUAUUACAUGCUAACCUCCCUGUGUAGGCCCUAAUGAGAGGUUAGCAUAUCUUGGGGGUAUGAUCUUUGACCCUCUGUAACUUUCUCACUAUUCAUUAUUAUUCACGAUUCAUUCAGGAUUAUCUGUAACCAUGGCAGCAUCCACAUGAAUGUAGAAGUAUUUAGAAACAUAUUAUAUUCUUAUUUACAAUAAAAGUGACUCCAAAAUGACAUAAUACAUUAUUUACCAUUAAUUUCUAUUGGGCACAAAAUAAUCUGAAAUACAAAAAAAAAAACUAAUUGCAAAUACAUCCAACAAGUUUCACAGGCUUGAUGUAGUCAUUGCAUGCUAGGAAUAUGGGACCAAAUACUAAACUUUUGACCCCCUACCUUUUUGAGAAAAAAAAAAAAUAUUGUUAGACAAAAUCUUUCUCUGGGCAAUUGUAUUCGUAUAAAAUAAUAUAAUUCCCCAUUUUGUUGAGCAUACAAUAUAGCUCAGUAUUUGAAUUGUUGAUUUUACACAGUCAUUAUUUCUCAUCUUUGUCAAGGGUGUCAGUAAAUUCGGACUCCCCCGUUCGACGUGAUCCAAGUCAUUGUAACGGAUCCAGGGUUUUGAACGUUUUCACAAAGCAACAGGUUUUAAUUUGGUUUUCAAUCAAAAAGGAACUCUAGUCUAGGUGACAGAAGAGGUAGGCC
Molecule: long non-coding RNA, 1041 nt
Organism: Oncorhynchus tshawytscha (Chinook salmon)
Lineage: Eukaryota; Metazoa; Chordata; Actinopteri; Salmoniformes; Salmonidae
Source: Ensembl